AAAAAAAAAAAAAAAAAGGUGGGAGAGUCAGAUCUGUGAUGUAUUGAUAGAGUUAGGAACUGAAAUUUGUAAUUGAGAGAAAAAGGAUUGAAUCUGUAAUGAUAUUUCUUAGUAAUUGAAUUGGAAAUGGAUUUCUAGUUAUCACUCUUCCUUUUCUUAAUACAAAACUUAAAUGCAUCCGCAAUUCCAAACCAGAGAAACAAACUAACAAAAAGAACUCUAUGGAAUUCCAGGAAGAAUUUUCUUAGCCCAAACAAGAAUGCCGAUAUUGAAUGCCCUUCCCUUCCUAUCUUCUGCCUUCAAAUAUUUUUUUCCUCUCACAUGCUUCUUUGUUGAUUCUGUUACUAUUGCCAGCUUGGUUCACUUUUCCCACCUGUUAUUACCUCAGCAAUUCUUCAAGAGCCUUUUUCCCACAUUCCAGAAACUUCAGCUAGUGCUUCCACCUUCCUUUGCCAUUCUGAAUUUCUUUCUGGCAUAACUUUUAGCUUUUCCUGGCCAUUCUUUGUUUAGUCCACUUGUCCUGCACCAUCCCUAUCAUGCAUUCUAGAUGAUAAAAGAUCUCUGAAUAUGCAUUUUUACAACUUAAUUUGUUGUUUCAGCCAUUCAUCAAUUUGCAGUUAACAUAUUAGUUAAUUACAGAACUAACCUUUUUUUAAAAAAAAAAAA
Molecule: unclassified non-coding RNA, 666 nt
Filed under: Hevea brasiliensis (rubber tree)
Lineage: Eukaryota; Viridiplantae; Streptophyta; Magnoliopsida; Malpighiales; Euphorbiaceae
Source: RNAcentral